Molecule: long non-coding RNA, 338 nt
Organism: Mytilus trossulus (common blue mussel)
Lineage: Eukaryota; Metazoa; Mollusca; Bivalvia; Mytilida; Mytilidae
Exons: 2
Source: RefSeq, a predicted model, not a curated record
UGUGACUCGGCACGAGGUGUUUUUCAAUUUACAGGUUGCUAAGAACUUUUUGUAAACAAGAACGCUAGCACAUCAUAGAAAAGCAAGUACAUGUGACAAUGGUGGUAGAGUGUUUAGAGAGAACGAACAUUUUACAUGUGCUGAUGGAUGUAAUCACUGUACUUGCCACACUCAUACAUGGAUAGGGUGCACAUUCAAUUUACCACCAGAAAUAUACAGAAAAAACGAAACCCUUUGAGAAAUCUUUUGUGCUUUUAACGUUUUUGCUAAAGCUUUUGAUACAUUUUGGAGAAAUGGCAUGCUGAAAUAAGUACUAUUAAACUAUAUAAACCCUGUGA